AGUUGAGAAGCAAUGCUGUUUCACCUCCCUGAGAGAAUUGCCUUGUUUGUGAAAUACUACAGAAAAACCUGUAUUUUCUCCAGAAAAUGAAAGGUCUUGGCCUGAGUAAAUCAAGGCAGAAAACUCACCCCCGUGAAAGCUGCAGCUCUGAGAGUGUGUGGGCAGGGCUUCAACAGAAUACCUGUGGCUGCACUUACAAAAGGCAGCCAGAAGGACCCGUCCAUUCUGGAAAGUACCUUUAGUCUGAAAGCAUUUAUUGCAGAAAAAAUAUGAGGCUUGCUGGUAGUAUUCCCAGGUGACAAAUGUGCACCCAACACCCUACAGAAAAGAAGAACCAUAAAAUAAUUAAUUAUUCCAUUGUAACUCCUGCCUGGAAAACAUCUGAAAGAAGUCACUAGAUUCAGCCCACAUUCAAGAUGAGAAAUACCAGAAGGCAGAGAACACUGAGGCUGUUUUAGAGGCUGUCAACCCCAGGGAGACAGACAGCAAAUAAGAUGCUUGGAUGUUUUCACACCACUCUGACACAUGGAUGGAAGGUUAGAAGACAACAAAGGAAUGGGCUGGGAAGGACUCCAAAAGCAGAAUCAGAGAUUAUAUCAUUCCUUGGAAAUGGAGAAAAGGAUCAAAAAAGCUGAAUAAAAGGUAGUCCCAGCAACAA
Molecule: long non-coding RNA, 658 nt
Filed under: Homo sapiens (human)
Lineage: Eukaryota; Metazoa; Chordata; Mammalia; Primates; Hominidae
Description: long intergenic non-protein coding RNA 2831
Source: RNAcentral